GGGGAUUUAGCUCAGUGGUAGAGCGGUUGCCUAGCACGCACAAGGCCCUGGGUUCGGUCCCCAGCUCCG
RNAcentral lists this transfer RNA (69 nucleotides) under Rattus norvegicus (Norway rat). It matches the Rfam family "tRNA". Rfam says of the family: Transfer RNA (tRNA) molecules are approximately 80 nucleotides in length. Their secondary structure includes four short double-helical elements and three loops (D, anti-codon, and T loops). The record is from Rfam by way of RNAcentral. Lineage: Eukaryota; Metazoa; Chordata; Mammalia; Rodentia; Muridae.